RNAcentral lists this ribosomal RNA (486 nucleotides) under uncultured bacterium. RNAcentral describes it as "bacterial SSU rRNA". It matches the Rfam family "Bacterial small subunit ribosomal RNA", at positions 355 to 833 of the family's 1533-position model. The record is from RNAcentral.
UAGGGAAUCUUCGGCAAUGGACGGAAGUCUGACCGAGCAACGCCGCGUGAGUGAAGAAGGUUUUCGGAUCGUAAAGCUCUGUUGUAAGAGAAGAACGAGUGUGAGAGUGGAAAGUUCACACUGUGACGGUAUCUUACCAGAAAGGGACGGCUAACUACGUGCCAGCAGCCGCGGUAAUACGUAGGUCCCGAGCGUUGUCCGGAUUUAUUGGGCGUAAAGCGAGCGCAGGCGGUUAGAUAAGUCUGAAGUUAAAGGCUGUGGCUUAACCAUAGUAGGCUUUGGAAACUGUUUAACUUGAGUGCAAGAGGGGAGAGUGGAAUUCCAUGUGUAGCGGUGAAAUGCGUAGAUAUAUGGAGGAACACCGGUGGCGAAAGCGGCUCUCUGGCUUGUAACUGACGCUGAGGCUCGAAAGCGUGGGGAGCAAACAGGAUUAGAUACCCUGGUAGUCCACGCUGUAAACGAUGAGUGCUAGGUGUUAGACCCUUU